GGAACAUUCUGCCAUCCAGGCAGAAGGCAUCACCUCACCCUGGAAAGGGGUUAUUUCCACCCUGCGUCUCACCCUGAGCUUGCCGGCUCCUGCAAAGCCUUUUGCUGUUUUGCCUUUUCCCAGCUACUCCAAACAUCAACGCUCGGGAUAUUGGGAUGAAAGCUAAAGCCAUCAGGGGGCUCUCUGGGAACGCUCCAGACAAGCUUUGAGUUAAACAGGGCUUGCUCAGAAAAUAAACACAGCUCCCAGCCAUGCAAAGCACGACAGUUCAGGCUCUGCCUAAUAACAGCAGGCGGGGUGGUUCCUCUCCCAGCAGCAGGUUUGUACAGGAAAGUUACAUUUCCUCUAUUUAAUCUCUUCCAUUCUUACUGUUCUUUGGAUUUCUUUCCCGUCUAGAAAGGACCUGGUGACCACAGGAUGGAAAGGAAAACACAGGGAGAAAAACAGCAGCUAGAGAAUGUGCUCCCAGAGGAUCCUGCUCUCUCAGGACCAGCACGGGGAAUGCCGAGGUGUGCACAGUCCAUGGGCACCUGAGCUGGAAUGCAGGGAGAGAUGGAGGUGUCUGCAGCAUCCUGCAGCUCUGGGAGGAAGGACAGAUGUCUCCAGGCCAGUCCAGCUCCAGACAGGGCCAUCACACCCUGUCAUGGAGCAGUGCCAGUGACAAAACUCCUUGCAUCCCAUGGGGCACCCCACUGAGGACCUUCUGCCUGCAGCAAGGAGGUAACAAGACACGAGAAGAGUUCAGAAAAUUCUGGUGUUUUCUGCUGAUUACUCAUUUCCACUGAUCCAAUACUGAUCUCCUCCCUGCCUGACUUUGUAGGAUUCCUGCGCCUGCCGCGUCAUCACAACCACCCACCCGUGGAGCUGGAACUCCACGUGAGCUCCUCCUCCUCCUCCUCCUCCUCCUCCUCCUCCUCCUCCUCCUCCUUGUCGUCGUCGUCGUCGUCGUUUUCGUCGUCCUCCUCCUCCUCCUCCUCCCUGUGGGCACCCCACACACCCGGGCACCCCGGGCACCCCCUGCCCACGGCC
This 1029-nucleotide long non-coding RNA is filed under the name Parus major (Great Tit). Its description in RNAcentral is "lncRNA (ENSPMJG00000006369.1)". The record is from RNAcentral. Lineage: Eukaryota; Metazoa; Chordata; Aves; Passeriformes; Paridae.